RNAcentral lists this ribosomal RNA (426 nucleotides) under uncultured Desulfovibrionaceae bacterium. RNAcentral describes it as "bacterial SSU rRNA". It matches the Rfam family "Bacterial small subunit ribosomal RNA", at positions 356 to 774 of the family's 1533-position model. The record is from RNAcentral. Lineage: Bacteria; Pseudomonadati; Thermodesulfobacteriota; Desulfovibrionia; Desulfovibrionales; Desulfovibrionaceae.
GGGUAAUAUUGCGCAAUGGGCGCAAGCCUGACGCAGCGACGCCGCGUGAGGGAUGAAGGUCCUCGGAUCGUAUACUUCUGUCAGCAGGGAAGAAACCGCACCGUCCUAAUCAGCGGCGCAUCGACGGUACCCUCAAAGGAAGCACCGGCUAACUCCGUGCCAGCAGCCGCGGUAAUACGGAGGGUGCAAGCGUUAAUCGGAAUUACUGGGCGUAAAGCGCACGUAGGCUGCUUUGUAAGUCAGGGGUGAAAUCCCACGGCUCAACCGUGGAACUGCCUUUGAUACUGCUUAGCUUGAAGCCGGGAGAGGGUGGCGGAAUUCCAGGUGUAGGAGUGAAAUCCGUAGAUAACUGGAGGAACAGCAGUGGCGAAGGCGGCCACCUGGACCGGUAUUGACGCUGAGGUGCGAAAGCGUGGGGAGCAAACA